Rhamnusium bicolor is the source of this 75-nucleotide non-coding RNA. The record is from the annotation of a GenBank genome assembly. Lineage: Eukaryota; Metazoa; Arthropoda; Insecta; Coleoptera; Cerambycidae.
GGCUUCGUGGUCGAGUGGUAAGGACACUUGUCUCUCACACUGGAGGCCUGAGUUUGAUUCCCGAUCGAGGAGCUA